Molecule: small RNA, 462 nt
Filed under: Pan troglodytes (chimpanzee)
Lineage: Eukaryota; Metazoa; Chordata; Mammalia; Primates; Hominidae
Description: sense overlapping
Source: RNAcentral
AACAAGGGGGAGUCUCCCUGCACAAGCUCUCUCUCUUUGCCUGCUGUCAUCCACCUAAGAUGUAACUUGCUCCUCCUUGCCUUCCACCAUGAUUGUGAGGCUUCCCCAGCCACGUGGAACUAAUGAGGCAGAAGUUACACUGUGCCAGUUUGGGCCCAGCUCUUCACAGGCCUGGCAGCUUCCACUUUUGCUCUCUUAAAAUCCAGCUUUCAUGCUGAAGAGGCUGCGUGGGGAAGAAUCCUGGAAAAUGACAGGACACCUUGAACAUUCAAGCCCUAGGUGAGCAGUCAGCUGAGUGCAACCACAUGAAGGAUCAUAGCUGACACCACCUAGCGCUGAGAAGAACUGGCCCUGCUGAGCCCUGACCAAACUGUAGAAUUAUGAGCAAACACAUGGUGGCUUUAAGCCACAAAGUUUGAGGGUGGUUUCUUUUGCAAUAAUAAACAUUUGCUCUACUAUACA